Molecule: ribosomal RNA, 251 nt
Filed under: uncultured prokaryote
Description: partial 16S rRNA
Rfam family: Bacterial small subunit ribosomal RNA
Source: RNAcentral
ACGAAGGGAGCUAGCGUUGUUCGGAAUUACUGGGCGUAAAGGGCGCGUAGGCGGUCUAUCAAGUCAGGUGUGAAAGCCCUGGGCUCAACCCGGGAAUUGCGCUUGAGACUGAUAGUCUUGAAUUCGGGAGAGGUUGGUGGAAUUCCCAGUGUAGAGGUGAAAUUCGUAGAGAUUGGGAAGAACACCCGUGGCGAAGGCGGCCAACUGGACCGACAUUGACGCUGAGGCGCGAAAGCGUGGGGAGCAAACAG